This 481-nucleotide ribosomal RNA is filed under the name Limosilactobacillus reuteri. RNAcentral's name for it is "bacterial LSU rRNA". It matches the Rfam family "Bacterial large subunit ribosomal RNA", at positions 2448 to 2925 of the family's 2925-position model. The record is from RNAcentral. Lineage: Bacteria; Bacillati; Bacillota; Bacilli; Lactobacillales; Lactobacillaceae.
CGCAACGGAUAAAAGCUACCCUGGGGAUAACAGGCUUAGCUCCCCCAAGAGUCCACAUCGACGGGGAGGUUUGGCACCUCGAUGUCGGCUCAUCGCAUCCUGGGGCUGUAGUCGGUCCCAAGGGUUGGGCUGUUCGCCCAUUAAAGCGGUACGCGAGCUGGGUUCAGAACGUCGUGAGACAGUUCGGUCCCUAUCCGUCGCGGGCGUAGGAAAUUUGAGAGGACCUGUCCUUAGUACGAGAGGACCGGGAUGGACAUACCGCUGGUGUACCAGUUGUUCCGCCAGGAGCACCGCUGGGUAGCUAUGUAUGGACGAGAUAAACGCUGAAAGCAUCUAAGUGUGAAACUCGCCUCGAGAUGAGAUUUCCCAUUUCCUUCGGGAAAGUAAGACCCCUCAGAGAUGAUGAGGUAGAUAGGAUGGAAGUGGAAGUGCCGUGAGGCAUGGAGCGGACCAUUACUAAUCGGUCGAGGACUUAACCAAG